RNAcentral lists this transfer RNA (88 nucleotides) under Limisphaerales bacterium. RNAcentral describes it as "tRNA-Ser". It matches the Rfam family "tRNA". Rfam says of the family: Transfer RNA (tRNA) molecules are approximately 80 nucleotides in length. Their secondary structure includes four short double-helical elements and three loops (D, anti-codon, and T loops). Further hydrogen bonds mediate the characteristic L-shaped molecular structure. tRNAs have two regions of fundamental functional importance: the anti-codon, which is responsible for specific mRNA codon recognition, and the 3' end, to which the tRNAs corresponding amino acid is attached (by aminoacyl-tRNA synthetases). tRNAs cope with the degeneracy of the genetic code in two manners: having more than one tRNA (with a specific anti-codon) for a particular amino acid; and 'wobble' base-pairing, i.e. permitting non-standard base-pairing at the 3rd anti-codon position. Lineage: Bacteria; Pseudomonadati; Verrucomicrobiota; Verrucomicrobiia; Limisphaerales. The record is from RNAcentral.
GGAGGGGUGGCAGAGUGGUUGAUCGCGACGGUCUUGAAAACCGUUAAGGUGAGAACCUUCGGGGGUUCGAAUCCCUCCCCCUCCGCCA